This is a non-coding RNA of Felis catus (domestic cat), 85 nucleotides long. The record is from Rfam. Lineage: Eukaryota; Metazoa; Chordata; Mammalia; Carnivora; Felidae.
GCCUGGGUGGCUCAGUCGGUUAAGCAUCUGACUUCGGCUCAGAUCAUGAUCUCAGGGCUCGUGAGUUCGAGCCCCGUGUCGGGCU